ACUGUGGACUCAAUUUCAAUCAAAUUACCGGAAUAUGUUACAAUGACAGCUGCUGCAAUGGCUCCAUAUGUCAGCUGGCAGUGAGAAAUGAAGCCUCAGUGGAUUGCAGUCCUCAACAGGGCAGCUGCUGUCUGCAGAACUGUUCUUUCAGGACCCUGGAGAGCAACUUUACUUGUUUCCUGGAAGAUGACUGUGCUUUCAAUCAAACUUGCAAA
Amphimedon queenslandica is the source of this 215-nucleotide long non-coding RNA. RefSeq lists it as uncharacterized. The transcript has 2 exons. The record is from RefSeq and is a predicted model, not a curated record. Lineage: Eukaryota; Metazoa; Porifera; Demospongiae; Haplosclerida; Niphatidae.